RNAcentral lists this signal recognition particle RNA (148 nucleotides) under Nomascus leucogenys (northern white-cheeked gibbon). RNAcentral's name for it is "Metazoan signal recognition particle RNA". It matches the Rfam family "Metazoan signal recognition particle RNA". From Rfam's summary of the family: The signal recognition particle (SRP) is a universally conserved ribonucleoprotein. The record is from Rfam by way of RNAcentral. Lineage: Eukaryota; Metazoa; Chordata; Mammalia; Primates; Hylobatidae.
GCCGGGCAUGGUGGUGCGUGCCUGUAAUCCUAGCUACUCAGGAGGCUGAGGCAGGAGCAUUGCUUGAACCCGGGAGGCGGAGGUUGCAAUGAGCUGAGAUCAUGCCAUUGCAUUCCAGCCUGGGUGACAGAGCAAGACUCUGUCUCAA